GAUGAACGCUGGCGGCGUGCCUAAUACAUGCAAGUCGAGCGAACGGACGAGAAGCUUGCUUCUCUGAUGUUAGCGGCGGACGGGUGAGUAACACGUGGAUAACCUACCUAUAAGACUGGGAUAACUUCGGGAAACCGGAGCUAAUACCGGAUGAUAUUUUGAACCGCAUGGUUCAAAAGUGAAAGACGGUCUUGCUGUCACUUAUAGAUGGAUCCGCGCUGCAUUAGCUAGUUGGUAAGGUAACGGCUUACCAAGGCAACGAUGCAUAGCCGACCUGAGAGGGUGAUCGGCCACACUGGAACUGAGACACGGUCCAGACUCCUACGGGAGGCAGCAGUAGGGAAUCGCCCGCAAUGGGCGAAAGCCUGACGGAGCAACGCCGCGUGAGUGAUGAAGGUCUUCGGAUCGUAAAACUCUGUUAUUAGGGAAGAACAUAUGUGUAAGUAACUGUGCACAUCUUGACGGUACCUAAUCAGAAAGCCACGGCUAACUACGUG
This 497-nucleotide ribosomal RNA is filed under the name uncultured bacterium. RNAcentral's name for it is "partial 16S ribosomal RNA". It matches the Rfam family "Bacterial small subunit ribosomal RNA", at positions 28 to 507 of the family's 1533-position model. The record is from RNAcentral.